RNAcentral lists this ribosomal RNA (631 nucleotides) under Scydosella musawasensis. RNAcentral describes it as "16S ribosomal RNA". It matches the Rfam family "Bacterial large subunit ribosomal RNA", at positions 1704 to 2700 of the family's 2925-position model. Lineage: Eukaryota; Metazoa; Arthropoda; Insecta; Coleoptera; Ptiliidae. The record is from RNAcentral.
AAUAAGGAAUUCGGCAAAUAAUUUUUUCGCCUGUUUAAUAAAAACAUGUCUUAUUGAUUUUAAUUUUAAGUUUGACCUGCUCAAUGAUUUUUAAAUAGCUGCAGUAUUUUGACUGUACAAAGGUAGCAUAAUCAUUAGUUUUUUAAUUGAAAGCUUGUAUGAAGGGUUUGACGAGAAAAAUUCUGUCUUAUUGUGAUUUAAUUAGAAUUUUAUUUUUGAGUUAAAAAGCUCAAAUAUUAUUAAAAGACGAGAAGACCCUAUAGAUUUUUAUAUUUACUUAAAUAUUAUUUUUAUAAUUAUUUAUUUAAUAAUAUAUUUGAUUGGGGUGAUUUAAAAAUUAGUUUAACUUUUUAAAAAUUUAAACAUAUAUUUAUGAGCAUAUGAUCCAUAAAAAUGAUUAAUAGAAUAAAUUACCUUAGGGAUAACAGCGUUAUUUUUUUAGAGAGUUCUUAUCGAUAAAAAAGAUUGCGACCUCGAUGUUGGAUUAAAAUUUAAUUUUGGUGUAGAAGCUAGAAAUUUAAGUCUGUUCGACUUUUAAAAUUUUACAUGAUCUGAGUUUAAACCGGUGUGAGCCAGGUUGGAUUCUAUCUUUAAUAAAAAAAAAUAUUUUAGUACGAAAGGACCAAAUAUU